This 401-nucleotide ribosomal RNA is filed under the name uncultured bacterium. Its description in RNAcentral is "bacterial SSU rRNA". It matches the Rfam family "Bacterial small subunit ribosomal RNA", at positions 975 to 1375 of the family's 1533-position model. The record is from RNAcentral.
CUACUCUUGACAUCCAGAGAAUUCUCUAGAGAUAGAUUAGUGCCUUUUGGAACUCAGAGACACAGGUGGCACAUCGUUGUUCUCAUCUUGUUUUGAAAGAUUGGGGUAAAUGUCGCACCGAGAGCACACCCUUUCCUUUUAGUCCACCACGUUAAGUUGGGCACUCCAGGGAGACUGCCGGUGACAAACCGGAGGAAGGUGGGGACGACGUCAAGUCAUCAUGCCCCUUACGAGUAGGGCUACACACGUGCUACAAUGGCGUAUACAAAGGGCUGCAAACUAGCGAUGGUGAGCGAAUCUCACAAAGUCCGUCGUAGUCCGGAUUGGAGUCUGCAACUCGACUCCAUGAAGUCGGAAUCGCUAGUAAUCGUGAAUCAGAAUGUCACGGUGAAUACGUUCCC